This 468-nucleotide ribosomal RNA is filed under the name uncultured bacterium. RNAcentral's name for it is "partial 16S ribosomal RNA". It matches the Rfam family "Bacterial small subunit ribosomal RNA", at positions 28 to 507 of the family's 1533-position model. The record is from RNAcentral.
GACGAACGCUGGCGGCGUGCUUAACACAUGCAAGUCGAACGGAAAGGCCCUGCUUUUGUGGGGUGCUCGAGUGGCGAACGGGUGAGUAACACGUGAGUAACCUGCCCUUGACUUUGGGAUAACUUCAGGAAACUGGGGCUAAUACCGGAUAGGAGCUCCUGCUGCAUGGUGGGGGUUGGAAAGUUUCGGCGGUUGGGGAUGGACUCGCGUCUUAUCAGCUUGUUGGUGGGGUAGUGGCUUACCAAGGCUUUGACGGGUAGCCGGCCUGAGAGGGUGACCGGCGACAUUGGGACUGAGAUACGGCCCAGACUCCUACGGGAGGCAGCAGUGGGGAAUAUUGCACAAUGGGCGGAAGCCUGAUGCAGCAACGCCGCGUGCGGGAUGACGGCCUUCGGGUUGUAAACCGCUUUCGCCUGUGACGAAGCGUGAGUGACGGUAAUGGGUAAAGAAGCACCGGCUAACUACGUG